GCGCUCUUCAUCUAAUAGGCUAGGAUGUUGCUCUUUCACGGCAAAUAUAUGGGUUCAAGUCCCAUAGGGCGUA
RNAcentral lists this transfer RNA (73 nucleotides) under Vermamoeba vermiformis. RNAcentral describes it as "tRNA-Glu". It matches the Rfam family "tRNA". Rfam says of the family: Transfer RNA (tRNA) molecules are approximately 80 nucleotides in length. RNAcentral also lists the same sequence under 1 other name. Lineage: Eukaryota; Tubulinea; Echinamoebida; Vermamoebidae. The record is from RNAcentral.